Molecule: long non-coding RNA, 396 nt
Organism: Dromiciops gliroides (monito del monte)
Lineage: Eukaryota; Metazoa; Chordata; Mammalia; Microbiotheria; Microbiotheriidae
Exons: 3
Source: RefSeq, a predicted model, not a curated record
GACGACCCCCGGCUAGCCCGCUCCGUCCCGUCCCUUCGCGCCCUCUCACCAUCUUGAUAUGCCCCUUCAGCUUGGAAACCAGGCGGCCGUAGGAGCUGGCCAGUGUCAAGGUGUAGACCAUCAGGACGCUGGGGGAGAGUUGCACAGCACGGGGAUAGCCGAGAUGGCCAAGCCCAGGAGCAGCAUCAACGGGAAGAAGAAGUUUGCUGUGGAGGCCCGGAAGGUGCGAGAGGCCGGAGAGCAGAAGGUGAUCUGACUCCAGAGGGAUGCAAGGAGGACCGCGAGUGAAGCCAGGCGGAGAAACACGGUCCUGGGUGGGGGUAAAGGAAGACAGAGUGUGAAGUGAUAGCAGAGCCCAACCCAGGUGUCUAAGGCUGGAUCUGACCCCAGAGCCAG